ACAUAUGACAAUACAGUACAAGACGACCAGUGAUUAAUUAGGAGGUUGAACCUCCUAAUUAAUCACUGGUCGUCUUGUACUGUACUGUAUUGUCAUAUGUU
Molecule: microRNA precursor, 101 nt
Filed under: Paramuricea clavata
Lineage: Eukaryota; Metazoa; Cnidaria; Anthozoa; Malacalcyonacea; Plexauridae
Source: RNAcentral